This 175-nucleotide unclassified non-coding RNA is filed under the name uncultured Sordariomycetes. Its description in RNAcentral is "sequence contains ITS1". Lineage: Eukaryota; Fungi; Ascomycota; Sordariomycetes. The record is from RNAcentral.
UAGAGUUAUAAAAACUCCAAAACCCAUGUGAACAUACCUAUUGUUGCCUCGGCAGGUCGUGCUACCCUGUAGGAACUUACCCUGUAAGAACCUACCCGGUAGUACAUACCAGGCCUGCCGAAGGACCCAAAACGCUUGUUAUAAUUGGAACUCUGAGUAACUAUAUAAUAAGUUA